UGCGUAGCUAGUCGCCUGGUCCGUAGUUGUACAAUCUGCAGAAAGAUCACUACCGUAAAACCGAGGUGCGAUGGCUGUCGCUGACCUUUUUUGGUCCGUGCACGCCCGAGCGCUCUCACACAAUCCAUCUCACUCCUUGUGUACCACCGCGUGGCUUCCCCUUCUGGCCUGUCCGAAGGGGGGCUCGCGUUUUUACCCAAUCUUGAAUUGGUGUAGAAUGUCCUUUUUUGCGAUAACACGCAAUUAAUACAACAUUCAACAACGGAUCUCUUGGCUCUCGCAUCGAUGAAGAACGCAGCGAAAUGCGAUACGUAAUGUGAAUUGCAGAAUUCAGUGAAUCAUCGAAUCUUUGAACGCACCUUGCGCCCCUUGGCAUUCCGAGGGGCACACCCGUUUGAGUGUCGUGAAAUUCUCAAAACCAUUUCUUUUGGUCAUUUUUGAUCAUGGAAGGGAUUUUGGGCUUGGAGGCCGUUUGCUGGUUUCACCUUGAAGCGAGAUCCUCCCAAAUGUAUUAGUGGGGUCUGCAUUGGCGGUCCUUGGCGUGAUAAGUUGUUAUUACGUCUUUUGGAUUUUUGGCGCUGUGCUCCUGCGUCUAACCGUCUCAUUGACAACGAUGGUGUUCCGGUCGCCGCCGAUUUUUCGGUGGGAGGGGCUUGACCCACGAAACAAAUCUUAUCUCUCCUGAGUUUGACCUGAUGACGUAGGAGCGUAUGUUAUGCCAAGU
This 724-nucleotide ribosomal RNA is filed under the name uncultured Russula. RNAcentral describes it as "eukaryotic LSU rRNA". The stretch from base 251 to 404 matches the Rfam family "5.8S ribosomal RNA". The record is from RNAcentral. Lineage: Eukaryota; Fungi; Basidiomycota; Agaricomycetes; Russulales; Russulaceae.